CAACCUCACCCCGUCCAUGGUCCCCGCAAGGGGAUAACAGGGAAUCCGGUAUGGGGGUGGUCCCCAAGUCCGGAGCUGCCCCCGCAACUGUAGGCGGUGAUGGGCGCUCAACGAGCCACUGGCGAGAAGCCGGGAAGGCGAGCGUUCAGGAUCCCCGCGAGCCAGGAGACCUACCGUGGAAGUGAUUGUGCA
Molecule: non-coding RNA, 192 nt
Filed under: Devosia sp. Root413D1
Lineage: Bacteria; Pseudomonadati; Pseudomonadota; Alphaproteobacteria; Hyphomicrobiales; Devosiaceae
Also listed under: 1 other name
Source: RNAcentral